This 679-nucleotide ribosomal RNA is filed under the name Microchloropsis gaditana. Its description in RNAcentral is "SSU rRNA". The record is from RNAcentral. Lineage: Eukaryota; Eustigmatophyceae; Eustigmatales; Monodopsidaceae.
CGGACGGGUGAGUAACGCGUGAGAAUUCGCCUUUAGGAGGGGGAUAACGGAUGGAAACAUUCGCUAAAACCCCAUGUGCCCUCGGGUGAAAAAGAGAAAGUAAGUCAUACUGAUUUAUCUCUGCCUGAAGAGAAGCUCGCGGCUGAUUAGCUAGUUGGUAGGGUAAAGGCCUACCAAGGCGACGAUCAGUAGCUGGUCUGAGAGGACGAUCAGCCACACUGGAACUGAGACACGGUCCAGACUCCUACGGGAGGCAGCAGUGAGGAAUUUUCUGCAAUGGGCGAAAGCCUGACAGAGCAAUACCGCGUGGGGGAUGAAGACUUACUGAGUUGUAAACCUCGGUACCCUAAGGAAGAAGAUAUGACGGUACUUAGGGUGGAAAGCAUCGGCUAACUCCGUGCCAGCAGCCGCGGUAAGACGGGGGAUGCAAGUGUUAUCCGGAUUUACUGGGCGUAAAGCGUCUGCAGGUGGUUUCUUAAGUCUACUGUUAAAUCUUGAGGCUCAACCUCAAAUCUGCAGUAGAAACUAGGAGACUUGAGUAUAGUAGGGGUAGAGGGAAUUUCCAGUGGAGCGGUGAAAUGCGUAGAUAUUGGAAAGAACACCGAUGGCGAAGGCACUCUACUGGGCUAUUACUGACACUCAGAGACGAAAGCUAGGGGAGCAAAUGGGAUUARAUACC